This 710-nucleotide long non-coding RNA is filed under the name Sarcophilus harrisii (Tasmanian devil). RNAcentral's name for it is "lncRNA (ENSSHAG00000022110.1)". Lineage: Eukaryota; Metazoa; Chordata; Mammalia; Dasyuromorphia; Dasyuridae. The record is from RNAcentral.
AAAACAUUCAGAAAUUCAUCCAAAAGAAAACAGAAACAGGAGUUCUCCUACAAAGAGCCCAGUUCAUUCUCAUCAGCAGUGCCUGAGAUAGAUGGGCAGACUAACAGAGGGACGGACGGAUCUAUUUCAUGGAUUGGCUUCCAGUUUUGUGUCGUGGUCUCCACAAUCAGCAUCUUUCAUCCAGUUUGGGGGCAGGUGAGACUGCUAUUACAGCCGUACCCUGAAUAAAACUCCUAUGGUAAGGAGACCUUAUUACAGCAUGGAGGCCUUAGGAGUCUGGAAGGCGAUGGUCUCGGCUGACUGGCAGGAUUUUUCCUUUGCUGUGCAGGACUGGCGCGGUGUCAGAGGAGAUGGGGAAUCACAAGCCCCUUCCCCAAGAGGGGCUCCUCCUCUUUGCUAUGCCGUUGUCCAGGCAGAGCCGGGCUGACUGCGGGAAUCGUGCGGAUUAUCUCGGGACAGGGACAACGCAGCCCAGGGAGGAAAGCUGUUUGUGCGAGGUCACAGUGUUCGAGGGAAAACCUGCCCGGCCAAUCUGGACGUUCCUUCUCCGAGGGCAAGCCUCCCCUUUCAGUGGGCCCAGGAACUCUGCGGCCAUCGGGGGGGGGGGGGGGGGGGGGGGCCUUCUCAGAAUUACAAAAGGAACUAAUUACACUGAAAUAGUAACCAGCUACUCUAAAAGCUUCGCGGGCCUCAGCUGGGGGACGCCCUGA